UGAGGCGGACCACGACCCACACAUGAUGAUGAACCCAGGUCCACCGCACGACGGCAGGCCACAGAACUGCCACCCACCCUCUGAUUGGACAUCCACCCCCUCCAAGGCCCCUUCAUCACCAACAAGGUCCCCCGCCACGCCCCCAUCAGCCCCACAGAGGAGGAGGUCCAGUGGGAGGAGGAGGACCCAGACACUGGGACAGGUACACUUCUCCAGCCCUGUAGACUAAUAAAAACAAAUCACCGAUUGCUUUAUUGCCGCGCAGGUGUUGUUGGAAGUAAUUUCCGUGGGUAUAAAAUAAAAAAUAACACGGUAUAAUAAAACGCCCCGGUACUUGGGAAUAAUUUAAGGAUUCAGAGGAUAAAAAUAUAAAACAUCAGGAAUUACAUCGCACUGCCUUCUCACCAGCCGUCCGCUGUCUCGCCCUUUUCUCAGAAACUUCCGGCCCCGUGAGGAUCACCCCCCACCCCGGAUGCAGGUGGCCCCCUUCCCGCCCAACGCCGCGCCCCCGGUUUACGCCGCCCCUGCGCUCUAUCCCCCCUCCCCCCCCAGAUCUACCCGCCCCCCUACUCCACGGGACCCGGCCUCAUCCCGCCGCCCCCCGUCGGCUACCAGCCCCAGCCUAUGUACCCCCCCGGGAUGCAGGGCAUCAACCCCCCCUGGAUGCCCCCGAACAACCAGCACCCCCUCGGGCCCCACCCACCCCCCCUCAACCAGCCCCACCUCUCCAAGGAGGAGUUCUACCGGCAGCACCAUCUCCAUCACCACCCCGACGAGUGAGCUUUGGCUUUGUUCCUGUUGGGGCCCGAAUGUGACAGUUAGAGUGCUGGGACUGGUGAUCUGUUUGGAAAUUGAAACAAUAACUUGAUUAAGAGGGGAUUUAAUGAAAGGGUAAUGAACGUUCUGAGUGGAGGAUGUUUACUGUGUGUCUGUCUGUGCUCCAUCAGGGUAACCUCCAAGCUUGACGAGUUCACUAAAGACUUCCACAAAGAGCUGAUGAAGUACUGCAGUGCGCCAAAGAGACGCAGACGGUCUUACACCAGGUCGCGGACCUACAGCCGCUCGCCGUUCAGCCGCUCUCCCUUCUCCAGGUCCAGGUCCCGGUCCCGGUCGUACUCCUACACCCCAAGCCGCUCGCGCUCGCGCUCCCGCAACCGGUCCUACCCCCGCUCGCCCUUCUCCCGGCGCAACGGGCGCAGCUACGGCCGCACGCGCUCCCGUUCCCGCUCUCGCUCCAGGCCGUACACGUACCGUCGGUCGGGCUCUCCGCGCUCUCCCGGGCCGUACCGCCCCCCCCGGUGGUCAAGGCUGGGACGGCGCAGACGGAGCCGCCUUCAGGUCCAGGUCCCGUUCCCGCACCCCUGGCGGCUUCCGGAGGGUCAGUCCCGGCGGCGGUGGAGGCGCUGGCGGAGGCGGUCGCAAACCCCCGCCGCGGGAGCCGCCACCCUUCGACGGGCGGGACAUGAGCCCCGGAACCCACGAGCGCUGGGAAAGGGACGGCUACAGGCAGUGGGAGAGGGACUACCGGGACUACUACAGUACUACAGGGACUACGACGGCCAGCCCCCGCACCACAGGGCGCACGGCAGCCGGGACCGGGAGAGGGACCGGCUCUCGCCCCCCGCCCAGAGACUACUCCCCCCAGGGCAAGAGCCGGAGGGUGGCGGGACGGCGACCGAGGCGCGCCCCUCGUUCCACCAGCCCUCCCUCCUCCUCCGGGACCAAGAGCAGCAGCAAGAGCAGCAAGUCCAAGAAAGUGAAGAAGAAGAAGAACGGGGACGAGUCGGAGGGCGGCCCACCAGUCCAUGGACCGAGGGGACGCCACCCCCGUCCGGGACUGAGCCCAUGGACGACGCGCCCAACCUCUCCAAGACGCCCCCCAGCUCCUCCAAGAGCAGCUCCGCCGCAAGGCCGCCACCAGCAAGAGCUCCUCCUCCUCUGGUCCGCCAAGACCUCGUCCAAGUCAGGGAAGACCUCGUCCGACAAGAGCAAGAAGGACAAGACAUCCAAGGUCAGGUCAAGGUGAAAAACCGAGGCCGCGAAGGUCAAAGGUAA
Molecule: long non-coding RNA, 2055 nt
Filed under: Gadus morhua (Atlantic cod)
Lineage: Eukaryota; Metazoa; Chordata; Actinopteri; Gadiformes; Gadidae
Description: lncRNA (ENSGMOG00000027939.1)
Source: RNAcentral